Molecule: long non-coding RNA, 3999 nt
Filed under: Nicotiana tabacum (common tobacco)
Lineage: Eukaryota; Viridiplantae; Streptophyta; Magnoliopsida; Solanales; Solanaceae
Description: long non-coding RNA (NTAB_LNC011728)
Source: RNAcentral
AUAAUUUCACCUCUCUCUCUCUCUCUAAAAUGGACAGAUGGAUCCCUCCCCAAAAACCCUAGCAGCUCUUUCCCCUCUCAAAAAUAGACUCCGUUUCUACACAACAGACGCUAGCCUCAAGUCCUUGCCUCCCUCUCUAAUGGUUGUCACAACCAACAUAGGAAAUUUAGAAUUCAAAAAGAAGUCUGAAGAGAGAUGAUUUCAAAGCUCAACUUUUUCUCUUCAUGGGUUUUAUAAGUUGUAGAAGCUCGAUCUUGUGGUUGCUGUUGCUUGCUCUUGUUGAAUAUAUUCUGCUGAGUUUCAUCUUUAAAGAUUUCAUCUUUCAUCUGGUUUUUUAAAAUUUGUUCUCCAUUUUUGCUGCUAGGUACGUCAAGACUUCUCUGUAAUUCCUUUUAAUUAGGCAAAUGAGACUUGAUUCAAUAUUAUUGUCCAUGUUUAGUUUCAUGUGUUCAUUGUUUGACUUGCUAUAUCUGUUCAUUUGUCUUUUAAUGAUCGAAUGGAAUUGUCUGCAUUUGAUAAAAAUUGCAAUUGGAAUUAUUCAUUGUAACUAAUUUUAAUGAGGCAUAUUGAGGGUUGUAGGCAAAAUUUGUUCAUUGGAUUCUAAAUGAUCUGUUCUGUUUUUUGGUCAAUUAAGGUUGAGUAUACACAUUAGAUUUGUUGAAGUGAGCUAAGUGAUACUCAUGCAUUUAUGCUAGUAGUAAUGGACGAAUCUGGAAAUUGAAUACGCAAGGACUUUCAAAAUUACUAGUAUUUGUGAUUGCAAUUAUUGAGGAUAGUUAUUUUGAUGUACUAAUUCCAAAUUGAAAAUAAGGUUUAAACUUCCUAUAUGUUAGAAUAAUCAAAUUCUUCAUGUCAUGAAUAAUCAUCUGUUUCAUUAUGAGAUUAUAGCUGUAUAUGUUUACUUGUACAGUCCAAGUCUUACAUAGGUGGGCCUGGUGUUAUAAUUUGCCGAUUAAGUGCCCCAAAUUUAAGAAAUAAUCUCACCUAGUGAUAGUAGGGAAAAUUUUGGCCUUUUGCGGCUAAGCUUCAAACUAAUACGACCUUCUUCUUUAAACAUACUUGAGUUUAAACGAAGGUUUCUACUUUAAGUUAGCACUAAUGUAAUUAACACCUGAAUCUGUAGAAGCGGUCCAACUUUUGUCCAGUUCUGUAAUUAAUCUUAACAAUUCAAAAUAUAAAUUCAUGGCUGCCACAUUUAUCCAUAAUCCAUGAUUUUCACAAAUAACCCUAAAGUUAGGAAAAUGAAGUAACUCUUUGAAUAUCGUAGAAAUGCUUUUAGGCGCGCACCUAAUUUAUUAUCCUAAUUGUGUAUAGGUUCGCAUAACAUAAAUCAAAGUACGCGUUCGCUCGACUUUGUUCGAACAAUCUUAUAAUAAUUAAGUGUUAUUAAUUAUGUACACGUACGCGUGAUAUGAUUUUAGCACACCGAAUAAAUGGAUUUACGCACAUGUUAUCCGUUUCCAAUAUAAAUCCAUAAAUGCCAUUAUUAAAAGUGGCAAAAAGUAAACGUACAUAGGUUCUAAAAAUGAGUAAUUAAACAAUUUAAUCAAUCCAGGUAUGAUUAAAAGUGACCGUGCUAAAAUCACAGAAUUCGGAAAUAUCUAACACUUUCUCCCUGGUUAACAAAAUUCCUUACCGCGUCUUUUAGUUUCGCAGACAUUAAAACAGAGUCAAUUUCCUCAAUUUGAGAUUUAAAAUAAACCGGUGACUUGGGAUACCAAAAUAAAUAUUCUAAGUGGUGACUCUGAAUCAAAUAAAUAAUUUUAUUUCGAAUAAUGUCACUUUAAUUGAAAAAACUCCCUAUUCCUUCGGAAAACGGAGGUGUGACAGUUCUAGCCACUCCGCUGGAGAUCCAACCCAGAAUCUAUGGUUCAGGGUUUAGAAUUUGAGCUUGUAAUGUAAUCUGUACUUGAAUUUAUUGCUUGUUGAUAUUACUGUAUUUGUGGGCCUAAUGUGCUAAUUGCCACUCAUUUACCGCUUUGAUAUUUUUAACUGUAUUAAACUGUUUUCUUACGCCUCCUUUCUGAGUCUUCUAAAAAUAAGGUGCACAUGUAUGCGUGACCCACUUUUCUGUUAGAGGUCAUAUCAAAUAGAAAUGAGGUUGGAUCAACAACUAGGUCGGGUAGACUUUCGUUCUUCCGGUACAUUGCCCCCACCUCAGCUCGAGUUGUCCGCUUGGGUAAGCCAUUUUAGAAUGCACCCUUAGGUUUUUAAACCUAGAAUAAUAUAGCCUCAUGCCGGAUCUCUAAUAGGAACGUUUGUUUGCAUCACGUGCAUUUGACUUUGGGGACUCAACACAGAGGUUAGGUCCGUCUAGGAUAGGUGUACCCGAAAUAAAAGACUAUUCUGAUGCAUCCUACGUGCUAUUUGUGCAUUUAUUUUUUCUGGCUUUCAUGUUGAUCGGCUAGGAAAAUAAAAUCAAGAGAAAAAUGAAGAGCGAGGUAGGAGAGAAAUUUGUCCCUUCUGAAAAAUCCCGGUAUUUUGAAAAAGAUUCAAAAAUCUACCGAAAUUUAAAAAAAUGGAAAAAGAAUGUCAUUUCAAAAGGAGUCGAUAUCUUCAAGAAAAAAAGAACAUGCUUUCUUGCUGUGUCAAAAAUGACCAAACUAGGCGUGUCUGAUUCUCACCGGAUGUGAGAUACCCAGGCAAACCUCUUCGGUUCCGACACCAAUUGUUAAAAAUCCAAAAAUAUUUUUCUUUAGUUCCUUCUUUAGGAGUCCUUUCUUAGAAAAUGCCAAACAAAUAAUUUUUUUACACACAAAAAUAUUUUCUCUGUAGAAGUCAUUCUACCCUUUUUAGAAGUCUUUUUCCCAAAUAUUCAAAAUAAAAAAUUAAUUAGAAAUCCAUUUUUUUCUUUCUUCUUUAGAAGUCUUUCUUUCGAAAAUUUCAAAAAAAUAAAUAAAUAUCAAAACCAAAUAUCGAAAUAAAAGACUUUCUUUUGAGAAUUCCAAAUGAAAAAAAAUUAUAUUCCUUUCUAAACGCUUUCAUGGUCUGAGUGUUAUAAAAAAAGUAAAAAAAAAAGAGUUAGUUUAUUUACUCCACUCCUGAUUUUCCUGAACUGCGUAAUGAUCUGAUUCAUGCGGUGUCAUGAUACGUAGAUAAUUCCUAUCAGAUUCGAUCAUAGCCAUAAACAAAUUGAGGGAAUAAUAAAUAGAAAAAAAAGAGUGGAAAUGAAAGAAAAGAGGUACAAAGUGAAAAAGGGACAUUUAAAGGCCGGGAUGACACAUGCAUUCGUUAAAACACAUGGUAGAAACAUUUAACUGUUUAGGUACAUUGCAUCCCAACAUGCGAUCUCCUAUCUGUUAAAUGUCUCAAAACUAACAAGGUUGUUAACUGUGCAAAUUAGCCAGGUUCUGUUUAGGUGGUUGGUUUGUUAGUAUUUUGACUUCCCAUCCUUACGUCACAAGAUCUAAAUGAAAUGUUCCUAUGGCCUCCGAAAGUCAUCUACUAAUUAUCAAUCUUGAGGAUAGCCCAACACCGGUUGUUCCACAACCAUAAUCAGCAGCUACUAAAGAGAAUAGGAUAUUGCGUCUCCGCAUGUUGGAAAUGUGGGACGCUUGGUCUAAUGGUAGGGAACCACCAAGUGUAAUUCCUGGGUUCCCUGAGUUGAUCCCUAGGUCAAGUGAAGCUACCAACGUCCCUAUACCCAACCUAUUCAUCUCGUACAUAUACCCUCCCAUACCAUCUAAUGGUCUUGGCAUGCCUUCUAUGGUUUGCCCCCAAGUGCCAGAUUCAAGGGCACCGCCAACAGUGUUCUCUAUAGCACCAAUCUGCACCCAUAUCACAACCAACUAUACCACAGCCAUAUGUUGAGCCUCCAUGUUCACCUUUCAGGUUCCACAGUUCCGGCCAGAAAUAACAUAUGUGAACCCAUACUCAUUUACUCAACCACCGCAAUAUGGUUUCUUAUUGGAGCAAGAAAAGGUUGUCAAGAAUCUCGAGCAAGAGGACAUGGCUCGGAGGAUAAAAAGCCUGCAACAAAGUCUGAAAAACAUACAACAC